Molecule: ribosomal RNA, 433 nt
Filed under: uncultured bacterium
Lineage: Bacteria
Description: partial 16S ribosomal RNA
Rfam family: Bacterial small subunit ribosomal RNA
Source: RNAcentral
AACGAACGCUGGCGGCAUGCCUAACACAUGCAAGUCGAACGAGACCUUCGGGUCUAGUGGCGCACGGGUGCGUAACGCGUGGGAACCUGCCCUUAGGUUCGGAAUAACUCCCCGAAAGGGGUGCUAAUACCGGAUAAUGUCUUCGGACCAAAGAUUUAUCGCCUUUGGAUGGGCCCGCGUUGGAUUAGCUAGUUGGUAGGGUAAAAGCCUACCAAGGCGACGAUCCAUAGCUGGUCUGAGAGGAUGAUCAGCCACACUGGGAAUACGACACGGCCCAGACUCCUACGGGAGGCAGCAGUGGGGAAUAUUGGACAAUGGGCGAAAGCGUGAUCCAGCAAUGCCGCGUGAGUGAUGAAGGCCUUAGGGUUGUAAAGCUCUUUUACCCGGGAUGAUAAUGACAGUACCGGGAGAAUAAGCUCCGGCUAACUCCGUG